Molecule: ribosomal RNA, 227 nt
Filed under: uncultured bacterium
Lineage: Bacteria
Description: partial 16S ribosomal RNA
Rfam family: Bacterial small subunit ribosomal RNA
Source: RNAcentral
UGGGCAACCUGCCCUCAGCUCUGGGAUAACUCCAAGAAAUUGGGGCUAAUACUGGAUAUUACUUCUGGUCGCAUGGCUGGUGGUGGAAAGUUUUUCGGUGGAAGAUGAGCUCGCGGCCUAUCAGCUUGUUGGUGGGGUAAUGGCCUACCAAGGCGUCGACGGGUAGCCGGCCUGAGAGGGCGACCGGCCACACUGGGACUGAGACACGGCCCAGACUCCUACGGGAG